Neogale vison (American mink) is the source of this 204-nucleotide long non-coding RNA. RefSeq lists it as uncharacterized. The record is from RefSeq and is a predicted model, not a curated record. NCBI's taxonomy places the organism in Eukaryota, Metazoa, Chordata, Mammalia, Carnivora, Mustelidae. The transcript is spliced from 2 exons.
GUGUCUUGUACAGCACGGCACUGACUGUGACAAGCGUGCGGGGCCCCGCCGACAGCAGAGAGGGCCCCCAGUACUGAGCAGAGGGAGGAGUCUGAAGGAGCCUCCCGGAACCCCAGCUGAAUGCCAGAGCUCCACCCUUCUCAGAAGCUGCCCACUCACCCCAUACACAGGCCUUGUUGGUGCAAUAAACUGAUCCCAAAGACA